Molecule: ribosomal RNA, 492 nt
Filed under: uncultured bacterium
Lineage: Bacteria
Description: partial 16S ribosomal RNA
Rfam family: Bacterial small subunit ribosomal RNA
Source: RNAcentral
AGUGAACGCUGGUGAUAGGCCUAACACAUGCAAGUCGAACGGCAGCACAGUAAGAGCUUGCUCUUACGGGUGGCGAGUGGCGGACGGGUGAGGAAUACAUCGGAAUCUACUUUUUCGUGGGGGAUAACGUAGGGAAACUUACGCUAAUACCGCAUACGACCUACGGGUGAAAGCAGGGGAUCUUCGGACCUUGCGCGAUUGAAUGAGCCGAUGUCGGAUUAGCUAGUUGGCGGGGUAAAGGCCCACCAAGGCGACGAUCCGUAGCUGGUCUGAGAGGAUGAUCAGCCACACUGGAACUGAGACACGGUCCAGACUCCUACGGGAGGCAGCAGUGGGGAAUAUUGGACAAUGGGCGCAAGCCUGAUCCAGCCAUACCGCGUGGGUGAAGAAGGCCUUCGGGUUGUAAAGCCCUUUUGUUGGGAAAGAAAAGCAGCAGGUUAAUACCCCGCUGUUCUGACGGUACCCAAAGAAUAAGCACCGGCUAACUUCGUG